This 497-nucleotide ribosomal RNA is filed under the name uncultured bacterium. RNAcentral's name for it is "partial 16S ribosomal RNA". It matches the Rfam family "Bacterial small subunit ribosomal RNA", at positions 28 to 507 of the family's 1533-position model. The record is from RNAcentral.
GAUGAACGCUGGCGGCGUGCCUAAUACAUGCAAGUCGAGCGAACAGACGAGGAGCUUGCUCCUCUGACGUUAGCGGCGGACGGGUGAGUAACACGUGGAUAACCUACCUAUAAGACUGGGAUAACUUCGGGAAACCGGAGCUAAUAUCGGAUAAUAUAUUGAACCGCAUGGUUCAAUAGUGAAAGACGGUUUUGCUGUCACUUAUAGAUGGAUCCGCGCCGCAUUAGCUAGUUGGUAAGGUAACGGCUUACCAAGGCAACGAUGCGUAGCCGACCUGAGAGGGUGAUCGGCCACACUGGAACUGAGACACGGUCCAGACUCCUACGGGAGGCAGCAGUAGGGAAUCUUCCGCAAUGGGCGAAAGCUUGACGGAGCAACGCCGCGUGAGUGAUGAAGGUCUUCGGAUCGUAAAACUCCGUUAUUAGGGAAGAACAAAUGUGUAAGUAACUAUGCACGUCUUGACGGUACCUAAUCAGAAAGCCACGGCUAACUACGUG